Pelobates cultripes (western spadefoot toad) is the source of this 314-nucleotide non-coding RNA. NCBI's taxonomy places the organism in Eukaryota, Metazoa, Chordata, Amphibia, Anura, Pelobatidae. The record is from the annotation of a GenBank genome assembly.
CUUAAAAAAUGUACAUAUCAGUGUACUGCAAAAUACACACAUAACAUUCAUAGUUUGCAGUUCACUGAUUUACUUAUUUUCAUGCCUUAUGGUUUAUUCAAAUGAUUUUCUUAAAGUGGUCACAAGUACAAAAGUCCUCUGAAUUGAAAAGCCACAAGAGUUAAUCUAGAACCGACUGAAAAAAAGGAAAAAGUCAGAGAAUUAGACACUGACUCGCUCGUUUUCAUGCCCUUUUGGUUUGUGGAAUUGUUUUUCCUGAAAUAAUUGUAUGGACGAAAUUCAUGCGAACUGAAAAUGAACAAAUUCCGCACCAC